This 280-nucleotide long non-coding RNA is filed under the name Mustela putorius furo (domestic ferret). Its description in RNAcentral is "lncRNA (ENSMPUG00000029976.1)". The record is from RNAcentral. Lineage: Eukaryota; Metazoa; Chordata; Mammalia; Carnivora; Mustelidae.
GGGAGCGUCUUCACCCCGGCUGAGAAAUUCAGAAUCCUCUCAAUGGGAGGCUCCACAUUUUCCUUUGAGAAAACAAAUUUUGCAAAGAUUCUUCAGAAUCCCGCGUCUCCCAACGACUGGAGCUUUGUCUUGCCCAGCUGGGUAUGUUCCAAGCCACUCUGUGUACAGACAUGGACGAAUAUGAUAGCAUUUUAUUGGGAGAAAAGACUCUUGUUCAGCUGACCUGCAAAACAGCUAAUAGGAGGUUUGCUUUUUGUCACAACACUCCUGCAAAGACGGG